This 388-nucleotide ribosomal RNA is filed under the name uncultured bacterium. Its description in RNAcentral is "bacterial SSU rRNA". It matches the Rfam family "Bacterial small subunit ribosomal RNA", at positions 29 to 396 of the family's 1533-position model. The record is from RNAcentral.
AAUGAACGCUGGCGGCGUGCCUAACACAUGCAAGUCGAGCGCGAAAACAGCCUUCGGGCUGUGAGUAGAGCGGCGAACGGGUGAGUAACACGUGGGUAACCUGCUCAGGAGUGGGGAAUAACUCGGGGAAACUCGGGCUAAUACCGCAUACGCUCCGGACGACCUCGGUCGAUCGGAGGAAAGGUGGCGACUGCGCAAGCAAGCUGUCGCUCCUGAAGGGACCCGCGCCCGAUUAGCUAGUUGGUGAGGUAACGGCUCACCAAGGCGACGAUCGGUAGCCGGCCUGAGAGGGUGAUCGGCCACACUGGAACUGAGACACGGUCCAGACUCCUACGGGAGGCAGCAGUGGGGAAUAUUGCGCAAUGGGCGAAAGCCUGACGCAGCAACG